This 253-nucleotide ribosomal RNA is filed under the name uncultured bacterium. RNAcentral describes it as "partial 16S ribosomal RNA". It matches the Rfam family "Bacterial small subunit ribosomal RNA", at positions 524 to 776 of the family's 1533-position model. The record is from RNAcentral.
UACAGAGGGUGCAAGCGUUAAUCGGAUUUACUGGGCGUAAAGGGCGCGUAGGUGGUUACGUAAGUGAGAUGUGAAAUCCCCGGGCUUAACCUGGGAACAGCAUAUUAGACUGCGUAACUGGAGUGCAGUAGAGGGUAGAGGAAUUUCCGGUGUAGCGGUGAAAUGCGUAGAUAUCGGAAGGAACACCAGUGGCGAAGGCGUCUACCUGGACUGACACUGACACUGAGGCGCGAGAGCGUGGGGAGCAAACAGG